GGGGAGAGGAGAGAGACGGGGGAGAGGUGAGAGACGGAGGAGAGGAGAGAGACGGAGGAGAGGUGAGAGACGGGGGAGAGGAGAGAGACGGAGGAGAGGUGAGAGACGGAGGAGAGGUGAGAGACGGAGGAGAGGUGAGAGACGGAGGAGAGGUGAGAGACGGAGGAGAGGGGAGAGAGACGGAGGAGAGGUGAGGCACGGGGGAGAGGAGAGAGACGGAGGAGAGGAGAGAGACGGAGGAGAGGAGAGAGACGGGGGGAGAGGUGAGAGACGGAGGAGAGGUGAGAGACGGAGGAGAGGUGAGAGACGGGGGAGUGGUGAGAGACGGGGGAGAGGAGAGAGACGGAGGAGAGGAGAGAGACGGAGGAGAGGAGAGAGACGGAGGAGAAGUGAGAGACGGAGGAGAGGUGAGAGACGGGGGAGUGGAGAGAGACGGGGGAGAGGAGAGAGACGGAGGAGAGGAGAGAGACGGAGGAGAAGUGAGAGACGGGGGAGAGGAGAGAGACGGAGGAGAUGUGAGAGACGGGGGAGAGGAGAGAGACGGAGGAGAGGAGAGAGACGGAGGAGAGUAGAGAGACGGAGGAGAGGAGAGAGACGGAGGAGAGUAGAGAGAUGGAGGAGAGGAGAGAGAGAGGAGAGGAGAGAGACGGAGGAGAGGAGAGGAGAGAGACGGGGAGAGGAGAGAGACGGAGGAGAGGUGAGAGACGGAGGAGAGGUGAGAGACGGAGGAGAGGAGAGAGACGGAGGAGAGGGGAGAGACGGGAGAGGAGAGAGACGGAGGAGAGGAGAGAGAUGGAGGAGAGGUGAGAGACGGGGGAGAGGAGAGAGACGGGGGAGAGGAGAGAGACGGAGGAGAGGUGAGAGACGGAGGAGAGGUGAGAGACGGAGGAGAGGAGAGAGAUGGAGGAGAGGUGAGAGACGGGGGAGAGGAGAGAGACAGGGGAGAGGAGAGAGACGGAGGAGAGGUGAGAGACGGGGGAGAGGAGAGAGA
This is a long non-coding RNA of Oncorhynchus tshawytscha (Chinook salmon), 991 nucleotides long. The record is from Ensembl. NCBI's taxonomy places the organism in Eukaryota, Metazoa, Chordata, Actinopteri, Salmoniformes, Salmonidae.